Molecule: ribosomal RNA, 415 nt
Filed under: Sticta sp. 11 JAMD-2022
Lineage: Eukaryota; Fungi; Ascomycota; Lecanoromycetes; Peltigerales; Lobariaceae
Description: partial large subunit ribosomal RNA
Source: RNAcentral
CCCGAGUUGUARUUUGWAGAGGGUGCUUCRGGCGCGAUGCCGGUCUAAGUUCCUUGGAACAGGAUGUCGUAGAGGGUGAGAAUCCCGUAUGCGACCGGCGAUCAAGCCCGUGCGAAGCCCCUUCGACGAGUCGAGUUGUUUGGGAAUGCAGCUCAAAACGGGUGGUAAAUUUCAUCUAAAGCUAAAUAUUGGCCAGAGACCGAUAGCGGACAAGUAGAGUGAUCGAAAGAUGAAAAGCACUUUGGAAAGAGAGUCAAACAGUACGUGAAAUUGUUGAAAGGGAAGCGCUUGCAAUCAGACCGGUCCGGAGGCGAUCAGCCGCUGCUCGCCAGCGGUGCACUCGCCUGCGAUCCGGCCAGCAUCGGUUUGGGCGGCGGGAUAAAAGUCCCGGGAAUGUAGCUUCUCCCGGGGAGUC